Molecule: ribosomal RNA, 460 nt
Filed under: uncultured bacterium
Lineage: Bacteria
Description: partial 16S ribosomal RNA
Rfam family: Bacterial small subunit ribosomal RNA
Source: RNAcentral
CCUACGGGAGGCAGCAGUGAGGAAUAUUGGUCAAUGGACGAGAGUCUGAACCAGCCAAGUAGCGUGAAGGAUGACUGCCCUAUGGGUUGUAAACUUCUUUUAUAUGGGAAUAAAACGUUCCACGUGUGGGAUUUUGUAUGUACCAUAUGAAUAAGGAUCGGCUAACUCCGUGCCAGCAGCCGCGGUAAUACGGAGGAUCCGAGCGUUAUCCGGAUUUAUUGGGUUUAAAGGGAGCGUAGGUGGAUAGUUAAGUCAGUUGUGAAAGUUUGCGGCUCAACCGUAAAAUUGCAGUUGAAACUGGCAGUCUUGAGUACAGUAGAGGUGGGCGGAAUUCGUGGUGUAGCGGUGAAAUGCUUAGAUAUCACGAAGAACUCCGAUUGCGAAGGCAGUUCACUGGACUGCAACUGACACUGAGGCUCGAAAGUGUGGGUAUCAAACAGGAUUAGAUACCCGAGUAGUC